GGGGGCGCACAGGCUUCGACGUGAGUGGUCAGCGUCCAAUGAGACGAGCCGAGUUUGCUGGAGACUCGUAAAACGCCGGCACCCAAGAUACACGCCGAUAAUGAUAUGGCUCUAGCUGCUUAAUUAAACAGUAGCUCAUCGGCCCGGGCGGCCUACGGCCCGGCCACCGGUGUCAUUUAGUAGGCUCACCUUCCGCGUCCUGGCUCCGGGGCGUUGAGGGGACAUUCAACGGGCUAGCCCCUCGGCGGUGCCCCGAUCCGUCGAGUGAGGCGAAACUAAAUCGGGAGCUACGCUCGUAGAAUCUCAUGGGCAGCGCGCUCGCGGACGCGGGUUCGAUUCCCGCCGCCUCCACUA
Molecule: transfer-messenger RNA, 354 nt
Filed under: Rubrobacteraceae
Lineage: Bacteria; Bacillati; Actinomycetota; Rubrobacteria; Rubrobacterales
Also listed under: 1 other name
Description: JACDDK01 sp013817025 Standard tmRNA
Rfam family: transfer-messenger RNA
About the family: Bacterial tmRNA, also known as 10Sa RNA or SsrA, is named for its dual tRNA and mRNA-like properties.
Source: RNAcentral